UUACCCGCUGAACUUAAGCAUAUCAUUAAGCGGAGGAAAAGAAAUUAACUAGGAUUCCCUUAGUAACGGCGAGUGAACCGGGAUAAGCCCAGCACUGAAUCCCUUUACCGUAUGGUAUUUGGGAACUGUAGUGUGUGAGAGUGUCUUUGGUGCGUGGCGAGUGACUUGAGUCCUCCUGAUCGGGGCUUGUCCCAGAGCGGGUGUAAGGCCUCUACGGUUGCGAGCUGCGUGUCUAGGGCGCUCUCUGGAGUCGGAUUGCUUGAGAAUGCAGUCCUAAGUGGGUGGUAAACUCCAUCUAAGGCUAAAUACCGCUGUGAGUCCGAUAGCAAACAAGUACCGUGAGGGAAAGUUGAAAAGCACUUUGAAGAGAGAGUUGGAUAGUACGUGAAACCGUUUACAGGUAAACGGACGGGACCUUAAGGUCGACCUGGGAGAUUCAGGUCUCUGCCGGUGGUUCGGUGUUGGCUGUCGAUCACGCCUCGUGCGGGACGGCGGUGGGCGCUGUGGCUGCUGGCGGGGGCUGCAUUUUUCCUUGUGUUGAGCGUCACGACCACCUGCUUGGCAGACAGAGGCGCCUGGUCUAAGGUAGCUCGGGCUGGCAACGGCUCGGGAACUUAUAGGGCCGGGAGCGCUGUGCUGUUGGGCGGGUGAGGAACUCGGGUCGCGCUUGCGGGCUUGGUCACCGCUGGACGUGUAUCGACUGUUGGGGACUGCUUGCAGUGCUCGGCGACUGUCACGGUCAGGUCUGGUGUCUUGUCUUGCGGCGUCGAUGGGUCAGUGGCGUCAUUCCAUAGGCACCCCGUCCGACCCGUCUUGAAACACGGACCAAGGAGUCUAACAUGUGCGCAAGUCAAAGGGUCUAUCGAAACCCCAGGGCGAAAUGAAAGUGAACUUAGGUGUGAUCCGGUGGCUCUUGAAGCGCCGGCGCAGCACCGGCCCGUCAUCUGUUCCGUUGCGGCUAUGGCGGAGCAUAGCGAUU
RNAcentral lists this ribosomal RNA (979 nucleotides) under Bushiella abnormis. RNAcentral's name for it is "eukaryotic LSU rRNA". It matches the Rfam family "Eukaryotic large subunit ribosomal RNA", at positions 21 to 805 of the family's 3401-position model. The record is from RNAcentral. Lineage: Eukaryota; Metazoa; Annelida; Polychaeta; Sabellida; Serpulidae.